UGCCUGAGUUACACUAAUUGAAUAUUUCUGAAAUAUCAACAGAAUCAAACCGAUAUAACCUUUGACUGUCAAGCAAUUAACACAGAAAACCUUUUACAGGCUUAUCCACUGAUGAGAACUGUUAUACCUCUGGGCUUUAUAUACAUUGAGAGAGGCCUGUCGUGUGAAACGUCCUAUGUGAUAAUAUAAAUACAGCUGCAGACUGAUAAAACAGUACCAUUUGAAUCUAGAGCUCCAUCAAAGACAUCCUAAGUAGACUCGUCCGUUAAACGUCCAACAAACUUGUUGUUAUUCCUUACAGAUAUUUUCUUUCAAGAUACCCGUACAUAUCGUUCACAGCAUGAAGACUAGUGGUUCAGCAGUUUUAUUCCUUCUCGUUCUGGCUGCUUUGGGUAGUUUCGACUCGAUAGUAUUAGGAGAAGAAACCAGCAGAUCCUUGAAUUGUCGCUUUGGCUGCAUGCCUCCGGGGAAAAGGGACAAUAUAUUAAAAGAAAAGCUGAAUUUGCUGAGAACCAAGUACGCCAAAAGAAAGCCAAUCUACAACAUGGGGGAGUAUGAUCAGCACUAACAGACCAAUAAAUCAGUAUCUCUUGGCCAUGUUCUGGCACUUUGAAGUAUUUACAACUUGAAGUUAUACAUAAUAAAACAUCUAUUGAGAUUUGUUGUGAGAAUAUUUAAAUGAUCUACAUCUGUCUAUUAAAUGUAGAUGUCAAAGCUAUACUUAUAUACACUAGAAAAUGUAACGAUCAUUUGAAUGGUAAAUUGUAAUAAAAGACGCUGGAUUAAGGAUCAUGAAAAAGUGCACGGUUUUUCUUAAGGCACUGCACCUGCUGCUUCUAAAGCUUAUGUCUGGCUAUUGCCUAAUCAGGAAGGUCUGCCAUGAGGCUGAUUGUCAUGUUAUCAGGGAUAGGGAUCCUGACGGAUACAAGACUCAUUUAUAUAACCUUUAUCACAUGAGGCCUAUAAUCUUACACAUUUCUUGGAAAAUUCAUGCUUCUUUUGAUCUUCAUCGACCUCGUCUGAUCUCACAAGCACAGGUGUUUUUCUGAGUAAUAUUGAUUGA
Long non-coding RNA from Exaiptasia diaphana, 1063 nucleotides. RefSeq lists it as uncharacterized. NCBI's taxonomy places the organism in Eukaryota, Metazoa, Cnidaria, Anthozoa, Actiniaria, Aiptasiidae. The record is from RefSeq and is a predicted model, not a curated record. The transcript is spliced from 3 exons.